AAAUUGAAGAGUUUGAUCAUGGCUCAGAUUGAACGCUGGCGGCAGGCCUAACACAUGCAAGUCGAACGGUAACAGGAAGCAGCUUGCUGCUUAGCUGACGAGUGGCGGACGGGUGAGUAAUGUCUGGGAAACUGCCUGAUGGAGGGGGAUAACUACUGGAAACGGUAGCUAAUACCGCAUAACGUCGCAAGACCAAAGAGGGGGACCUUCGGGCCUCUUGCCAUCGGAUGUGCCCAGAUGGGAUUAGCUAGUAGGUGGGGUAACGGCUCACC
RNAcentral lists this ribosomal RNA (272 nucleotides) under Escherichia coli. RNAcentral's name for it is "partial 16S ribosomal RNA". It matches the Rfam family "Bacterial small subunit ribosomal RNA", at positions 1 to 269 of the family's 1533-position model. The record is from RNAcentral. Lineage: Bacteria; Pseudomonadati; Pseudomonadota; Gammaproteobacteria; Enterobacterales; Enterobacteriaceae.